This 497-nucleotide ribosomal RNA is filed under the name uncultured bacterium. Its description in RNAcentral is "partial 16S ribosomal RNA". It matches the Rfam family "Bacterial small subunit ribosomal RNA", at positions 28 to 507 of the family's 1533-position model. The record is from RNAcentral.
GAUGAACGCUGGCGGCGUGCCUAAUACAUGCAAGUCGAGCGAACAGAUAAGGAGCUUGCUCCUUUGACGUUAGCGGCGGACGGGUGAGUAACACGUGGGUAACCUACCUAUAAGACUGGAAUAACUCCGGGAAACCGGGGCUAAUGCCGGAUAACAUUUAGAACCGCAUGGUUCUAAAGUGAAAGAUGGUUUUGCUAUCACUUAUAGAUGGACCCGCGCCGUAUUAGCUAGUUGGUAAGGUAACGGCUUACCAAGGCAACGAUACGUAGCCGACCUGAGAGGGUGAUCGGCCACACUGGAACUGAGACACGGUCCAGACUCCUACGGGAGGCAGCAGUAGGGAAUCUUCCGCAAUGGGCGAAAGCCUGACGGAGCAACGCCGCGUGAGUGAUGAAGGUCUUCGGAUCGUAAAACUCUGUUUUUAGGGAAGAACAAAUGUGUAAGUAACUGUGCACGUCUUGACGGUACCUAAUCAGAAAGCCACGGCUAACUACGUG